AUUUUGCUGUGGCAUAAAAGACUUGCCCAUGCUUCAAUAGGAUCUAUGAAAGACUUGUUAGGCUAUAAUGUUGAUGCUUGUAAAAUGCUUUGAACAAUUGUGAAAUAUGUCCUCUAGCUAGACACACUAGACUACCUUUCACUAGUAGUAACACUAGGUCUUCUGAAGUGUUUGUUUUAUUGCAUUUGGAUGUAUGGGGUCCUUAUAAUAUUCCAACAUUUGAUGGAAAUAAA
RNAcentral lists this unclassified non-coding RNA (233 nucleotides) under Hevea brasiliensis (rubber tree). The record is from RNAcentral. Lineage: Eukaryota; Viridiplantae; Streptophyta; Magnoliopsida; Malpighiales; Euphorbiaceae.